Molecule: long non-coding RNA, 1858 nt
Filed under: Triticum aestivum (bread wheat)
Lineage: Eukaryota; Viridiplantae; Streptophyta; Magnoliopsida; Poales; Poaceae
Description: long non-coding RNA (TAES_LNC023769)
Source: RNAcentral
CCCAUAUUACCUUGUCUUCUCUCUUGAGUUGAAUGCUUUCAGAUUCCAGCUUAGUCCAAUGCACGUGCACUACUAUUAUUAUCCACACUAUUCGGUCGUGCAAGUGAAAGGCAAUAAUGACGAUAUAUGAUGAACUGGUUGAGAAGCUGGUAUGAACUCGACCUCUCUUGUUUUUGUAAAUAUGAUUAGUUCAUCAUUCCUGAUUCAGCCUAUUAUGAAUGAAACAUGUUUGCAAUGACAAUUAGAGAUUAUAGUUCCUCAUGCCAUGCUUAAGUAGCUAGGAGUUUAUAAUGGUUUACCUUGCGUGUCAACAUGCUAUUAAAAUUGUUGUGAUGUGGUAUGAUAGGGUGGUAUCCUCCUUUGAACGAUUUGAGUGGCUUGACUUGGCACAUGUUCACGCAUGUAGUUGAAACAAAAUCAACAUAGCCUCCAUGAUAUUUAUGCUCAUGGUGAAUUAUAUCCUACUCAUGCUUGCAUUCAGUGUUGAUUAAUUUUAAUGCAUGUUCAUGACUGUUGUCGCUCUCUAGCUGGUCGCUUCCCAGUCUCUUUCUAGCCUUCACUUGUACUAAGCGGGAAUACUGCUUGUGCAUCCAACUCCAUAAACCCCAAAAGUUAUUCUAUAUGAGUCCACAAUAUCUUCCUAUAUGCGGUAUUUACCUGCUGUUCCAAGUAAAUGUGUAUGUGCCAAACUCUAAAUUUUCAAAUAAACAUUCUGUUUUGUAUGCUCGAAUAGCUCAUGUAUCAACUAGGGUUGUCUGUAUCUUCCAUGCUAGGUAGGUUAUUCUCAAGAGGAGUGGACUCCGCUCCUCACUCACGAGAAAAUGGCUGGUCACCGGGAUGCCCAGUCCCAUGCUCAAAUCAAAUCAAAAUAAUUGCAAACAAAACUCCCCCAGGAUUGUUGUUAGUUGGAGGCACCCGUUGUUUCGGGCAAGCCAUGGAUUGAUGCUUGUUGGUGGUGGGGGAGUAUAAACUUUACCAUUCUGCUUGGGAACCGCCUAUAAUGUGUGUAACAUGGAAGAUAUCGAGAUCUCUCGGUUGUUAUGUUGACAAUGAAAAUAUACCGCUCAAAAUAUUUUUCAUCUCUAUUUCAAAAUUGAGCUCUGGCACCUCUACAAAUCCCUGCUUCCCUCUGCGAAGGGCUUAUCUAUUUACGUUUAUGUUGAGUGAUCACCCUCUUAUUAAAAAACACCAGUUGGAGAGCACCACUGUCAUUUACAUGUAUUAUUGUUAGCUUACAUUGAGUAUGACUUGACUGGAUCUCUUUUACCAUGAAUUACAAUUUCUAGUCGGCCCUUGAUCUUCAGGGGUGCUCUGCAUUUAUGUUUUGCGGUCUCACAAAGGGCUAGCGAGAUACCAUCUUGUUAUAUCAUAUUAUGAUUGUUUUGAGAAAGUGUUGUCAUACGAGAUUUAUUAUUAUUGCUCGCUAGUUGAUUAUGCCAUUGAUAUGAGUAAACAUGAGACCUAGAUGUUAUUGUGAGUAUGGUUAGUUCAUAAUCUUUGCUGAAAACUUGAAUGCUCGCUUUACAUAUUUACAACAACAAGAGGAAACAGAGUUUGUAAAAGUUUUUCUUUAUCACUUUCAGUUUGUCAACUAAAUUGCUUGAGGACAAGCAAAGGUUUAAGCUUGGGGGAGUUGAUACGUCUCCAAUGUAUCUAUUUUUCCAAACACUUUUUUCCCUUGUUUUGGACUCUAACUUGCAUGAUUUGAAUGGAACUAACCCGGACUGAUGCAGUUUUCAGCAGAAUUGCCAUGGUGUUAUUUUUGUGCAGAAAUAAAAGUUCUUGGAAUGACCUGAAAAUCAAUGGAGAUUAUUUUUGGAAUAUAUAAAAAAUACUGACGAAAGAAUCAAGGCCAGGG